Molecule: non-coding RNA, 104 nt
Organism: Acanthosepion pharaonis
Lineage: Eukaryota; Metazoa; Mollusca; Cephalopoda; Sepiida; Sepiidae
Source: the annotation of a GenBank genome assembly
AUCAUGCUGAAACACCUGUUCCCGUACAAUCACCGAAGUUAAGCAACGUCGAGACUUUGCAUUACCUAGAUGGGUAACCGCUUGUGAAUACCAGGUGCCGUAAG